UCUGUUAUUCUCACGGCGGAGCUUCCAACGCCGACGUCUACACAGAGAGAGAGAAACCGUCGCCGGCAAAUCAAAAAUCAAUGUGCUCUGUAAAGCACAAGCAGAAGCACCAAAACAGCCAGAUUCACCACCGCAUCUCCCCCUCCACCGCGACCUCCGGCAGCGGCGAGGAUUGGAGAGAUGUGGCCAUCUCCACCGGAUCGCUGAAGCACGUCGACCUCAACACCGGAUCCAACGGCUGGGCAUCGCCGCCGGGGGACAAUUUCUCCGUCCGCGGCCCCAAUUACCUCACGAAGAAGGCUAAAACCCCCGCCGGCGAGUGGCUGAUGAAUCCGGCCGGCGUCGACUGGCUCAGAUCCAGCGCAAAACUCGAUCACGUCCUCGCGCGGCCGGACAACCGCGUGAUGACCGCGCUGCGCGCAUCGAAGAGCGAGAAAUCGUCCAAAACGUUCAUCAUCGCGAUCAAUUUACAAGUCCCCGGGCGCGAGCACCACUCCGCGGUUUUCUACUUCUCCAGCAAAAUCGACGAGCCGAUCGCCUCGAAUCCGCUGUUUCAUCAGUUCAUCAACGGCUCCGACGCCUUCCGAAGCAGCCGAUUUAAGAUCGUGAAUAAGAUCGUCAAAGGACCGUGGAUUGUGAAAUCGGCGGUGGGGAAUUACUCAGCGUGUUUGUUGGGGAAGGCAUUGAAUUGCUACUAUCACCGCGGCCCUAAUUAUUUGGAAAUCGAUGUCGACAUCGGUAGCUCCGCAAUCGCCAGCGCAAUUUUGAAGCUGGCGUUAGGUUGCGUGACGUCGGUGACGGUGGACAUGGGGUUUUUGGUCGAGGGGCAAAAGGAGGAAGAGCUCCCCGAGCGUUUGCUCGGCGCCGUGAGGAUUUGUCAAAUGGAGAUGAGCUCCGCCACGUUUGUUGAUAGCGCCGCCGUUGCAACGAGCAAGGUUUUGCCGAUGAGUAGCGGCGGCGAAAGCGAAAAUGAGGUUUGAUUAACUCAUCAUUUUCGUUGCUAUUUAGCCAUUGGGAAGCUAACAAUGAAGAAAGGGCUAUGGCUACCUUUUUCUCCAGCCAUCCAAAAGGUAGAAGGAUAGAGCCAUAUUUUGCAUCAUUUUUCUUAAAAGAUCUCAAUUUUUGAGGGGAUUCCACUAUUUCUGAGAAGGUAAGGGUAACUUUGAUGUCUGAAAAUCACCCAGUAAGAAAAUGUACUUAAACAUCUACCUUGGAAGGGCAUGAAUGAGGUACAAUAAUCAUGAAUCAUGAAUGACGAAUAACGAAUCAUAAAUCGCCACCCAAUCUUGCUGGACCAUUGUACUAUUCCGUCGUUCUUCUCUCACUUUUUUCUUUCUUUCAUAUACUAAUGUUUAGUUUGGAGUUAUUCUGUGUUUGGGUGGUGAGGUGGCUGGCCUUGGGAUUUUCUAUAUAUAUGAUUGAUUGAGCAGCUGAUAAUUUGGACAAGUUAGGCAGAUAUGUUGAUUUUGUUAACUGGUGCAGAUUUUCUAGCUAUCAAUAUGAUUAAGUUAAUCUUGAGACACAA
Salvia hispanica is the source of this 1525-nucleotide non-coding RNA. The record is from RefSeq and is a predicted model, not a curated record. NCBI's taxonomy places the organism in Eukaryota, Viridiplantae, Streptophyta, Magnoliopsida, Lamiales, Lamiaceae.